RNAcentral lists this ribosomal RNA (442 nucleotides) under uncultured bacterium. Its description in RNAcentral is "partial 16S ribosomal RNA". It matches the Rfam family "Bacterial small subunit ribosomal RNA", at positions 338 to 795 of the family's 1533-position model. The record is from RNAcentral.
CCUACGGGAGGCAGCAGUGGGGAAUAUUGGGCAAUGGGCGCAAGCCUGACCCAGCAACGCCGCGUGAAGGAAGAAGGCUUUCGGGUUGUAAACUUCUUUUGUCAGGGAAGAGUAGAAGAAGGUACCUGACGAAUAAGCCACGGCUAACUACGGGCCAGCAGCCGCGGGAAUACGUAGGUGGGAAGCGUUGUCCGGAUUUACUGGGUGGAAAGGGCGUGUAGCCGGGUUGGCAAGGCAGAUGUGAAAUCCUGCGGCUUAACCGCAGAACUGCAUUUGAAACUGUUGAUCUUGAGUACUGGAGAGGCAGAUGGAAUUCCUAGUGUAGCGGUGAAAUGCGUAGAUAUUAGGAGGAACACCAGUGGCGAAGGCGGUUUGCUGGACAGCAACUGACGGUGAGGCGCGAAAGCGUGGGGAGCAAACAGGAUUAGAUACCCUGGUAGUC